This 454-nucleotide ribosomal RNA is filed under the name uncultured bacterium. RNAcentral's name for it is "bacterial SSU rRNA". It matches the Rfam family "Bacterial small subunit ribosomal RNA", at positions 28 to 478 of the family's 1533-position model. The record is from RNAcentral.
GAUGAACGCUGGCGGCGUGCCUAACACAUGCAAGUCGAACGGAGUCGUUUUGGAAAAUCCUUCGGGAUUGGAAUUCUCGACUUAGUGGCGGACGGGUGAGUAACGCGUGAGCAAUCUGCCUUUAAGAGGGGGAUAACAGUCGGAAACGGCUGCUAAUACCGCAUAAAGCAUCAAAUUCGCAUGUUUUUGAUGCCAAAGGAGCAAUCCGCUUUUAGAUGAGCUCGCGUCUGAUUAGCUAGUUGGCGGGGUAACGGCCCACCAAGGCGACGAUCAGUAGCCGGACUGAGAGGUUGAACGGCCACAUUGGGACUGAGACACGGCCCAGACUCCUACGGGAGGCAGCAGUGGGGAAUAUUGCGCAAUGGGGGAAACCCUGACGCAGCAACGCCGCGUGAUUGAAGAAGGCCUUCGGGUUGUAAAGAUCUUUAAUCAGGGACGAAACAAAUGACGGUAC